Molecule: ribosomal RNA, 460 nt
Filed under: uncultured bacterium
Lineage: Bacteria
Description: partial 16S ribosomal RNA
Rfam family: Bacterial small subunit ribosomal RNA
Source: RNAcentral
CCUACGGGAGGCAGCAGUGAGGAAUAUAGGUCAAUGGACGAGAGUCUGAACCAGCCAAGUAGCGUGAAGGAUGACUGCCCUAUGGGUUGUAAACUUCUUUUAUAUGGGAAUAAAAUGUUCCACGUGUGGGAUUUUGUAUGUACCAUAUGAAUAAGGAUCGACUAACUCCGUGCCAGCAGCCGCGGUAAUACGGAGGAUCCGAGCGUUAUCCGGAUUUAUUGGGUUUAAAGGGAGCGUAGGUGGAUUUAUAAGUCAGUUGUGAAAGUUUGCGGCUCAACCGUAAAAUUGCAGUUGAAACUGGCAGUCUUGAGUACAGUAGAGGUGGGCGGAAUUCGUGGUGUAGCGGUGAAAUGCUUAGAUAUCUCGAAGAACGCCGAUUGCGAAGGCAGUUCACUGGACUGCAACUGACACUGAGGCUCGAAAGUGUGGGUAUCAAACAGGAUUAGAUACCCCUGUAGUC